This 803-nucleotide ribosomal RNA is filed under the name uncultured bacterium. Its description in RNAcentral is "bacterial SSU rRNA". It matches the Rfam family "Bacterial small subunit ribosomal RNA", at positions 8 to 809 of the family's 1533-position model. The record is from RNAcentral.
AGAGUUUGAUCCUGGCUCAGGAUGUACGCUGGCGGCGUGCUUAACACAUGCAAGUCGAACGAAGCACUCUAUUUGAUUUCCUUCGGGACUGAUUAUUUUGUGACUGAGUGGCGGACGGGUGAGUAACGCGUGGGUAACCUGCCUUGUACAGGGGGAUAACAGUUGGAAACGGCUGCUAAUACCGCAUAAGCGCACGGCAUCGCAUGAUGCAGUGUGAAAAACUCCGGUGGUAUAAGAUGGACCCGCGUUGGAUUAGCUAGUUGGUGAGGUAACGGCCCACCAAGGCGACGAUCCAUAGCCGACCUGAGAGGGUGACCGGCCACAUUGGGACUGAGACACGGCCCAAACUCCUACGGGAGGCAGCAGUGGGGAAUAUUGCACAAUGGGCGAAAGCCUGAUGCAGCGACGCCGCGUGAGCGAAGAAGUAUUUCGGUAUGUAAAGCUCUAUCAGCAGGGAAGAUAAUGACGGUACCUGACUAAGAAGCACCGGCUAAAUACGUGCCAGCAGCCGCGGUAAUACGUAUGGUGCAAGCGUUAUCCGGAUUUACUGGGUGUAAAGGGAGCGCAGGCGGUGCGGCAAGUCUGAUGUGAAAGCCCGGGGCUCAACCCCGGUACUGCAUUGGAAACUGUCGUACUAGAGUGUCGGAGGGGUAAGCGGAAUUCCUAGUGUAGCGGUGAAAUGCGUAGAUAUUAGGAGGAACACCAGUGGCGAAGGCGGCUUACUGGACGAUAACUGACGCUGAGGCUCGAAAGCGUGGGGAGCAAACAGGAUUAGAUACCCUGGUAGUCCACGCCGUAAACGA